RNAcentral lists this ribosomal RNA (486 nucleotides) under uncultured bacterium. Its description in RNAcentral is "bacterial SSU rRNA". It matches the Rfam family "Bacterial small subunit ribosomal RNA", at positions 30 to 510 of the family's 1533-position model. The record is from RNAcentral.
AUUGAACGCUGGCGGCAUGCCUUACACAUGCAAGUCGAACGGCAGCACGGGAGCAAUCCUGGUGGCGAGUGGCGAACGGGUGAGUAAUAUAUCGGAACGUGCCCAGUCGUGGGGAUAACGUAGCGAAAGCUACGCUAAUACCGCAUACGAUCUACGGAUGAAAGCGGGGGAUCGCAAGACCUCGCGCGAUUGGAGCGGCCGAUAUCAGAUUAGGUAGUUGGUGAGGUAAAGGCUCACCAAGCCGACGAUCUGUAGCUGGUCUGAGAGGACGACCAGCCACACUGGGACUGAGACACGGCCCAGACUCCUACGGGAGGCAGCAGUGAGGAAUAUUGGACAAUGGGCGAAAGCCUGAUCCAGCCAUGCCGCGUGUGUGAAGAAGGUCUUCGGAUUGUAAAGCACUUUAAGUUGGGAGGAAGGGUAGUAACCUAAUACGUUGCUACUUUGACGUUACCGACAGAAUAAGCACCGGCUAACUUCGUGCCA